Molecule: unclassified non-coding RNA, 241 nt
Filed under: uncultured fungus
Lineage: Eukaryota; Fungi
Also listed under: 1 other name
Description: partial contains 5.8S ribosomal RNA, internal transcribed spacer 2, and large subunit ribosomal RNA
Source: RNAcentral
AACGCACAUUGCGCCCCUUGGUAUUCCGGGGGGCAUGCCUGUUCGAGCGUCAUUAUCACCCCUCAAGCUCAGCUUGGUGUUGGGGCCUGCCGUCAAAGGCAGCCCCUAAAAUCAGUGGCGGUGCCGUCAGGCUCUAAGCGUAGUAAUACUCCUCGCUAUAGGGUCCUGGUGGUGUCUUGCCAAAACCCCCCAUUUUUUCAUGAUUGACCUCGGAUCAGGUAGGGAUACCCGCUGAACUUAA